CCUACGGGUGGCAGCAGUGGGGAAUAUUGCGCAAUGGGCGAAAGCCUGAAGCAGCGACGCCGCGUGAGGGAUGAAGGUCGGCGGAACGGAAACCUCUGUCAGCAGGGAAGAACGGUCACGGGGCUAAUCAGCAGUGAAUUGACGGUACCUGCAAAGGAAGCACAGGCUAACUCCGUGCCAGCCGCCGCGGUAAGACGGAGGGGGCGAGCGUUCAUCGGAAUUAAUGGGCGGGAAGGGCGCGGAGGCGGUAUGUCAAGGCAAGGGUGAAAGCCCCGCGCUCAACGUGGGAACUGCCUUUGAGACUGGCAACCUGGAGUGUGUGUGAGGUAAGUGGCAUUCCCGGUGU
This 346-nucleotide ribosomal RNA is filed under the name uncultured bacterium. Its description in RNAcentral is "partial 16S ribosomal RNA". It matches the Rfam family "Bacterial small subunit ribosomal RNA", at positions 338 to 676 of the family's 1533-position model. The record is from RNAcentral.